CAGGCUUAACACAUGCAAGUCGAGGGGCAGCAUGGUCUUAGCUUGCUAAGGCCGAUGGCGACCGGCGCACGGGUGAGUAACACGUAUCCAACCUGCCGUCUACUCUUGGACAGCCUUCUGAAAGGAAGAUUAAUACAAGAUGGCAUCAUGAGUCCACAUGUUCACAUGAUUAAAGGUAUUCCGGUAGACGAUGGGGAUGCGUUCCAUUAGAUAGUAGGCGGGGUAACGGCCCACCUAGUCUUCGAUGGAUAGGGGUUCUGAGAGGAAGGUCCCCCACAUUGGAACUGAGACACGGUCCAAACUCCUACGAGAGGCAGCAGUGAGGAAUAUUGGUCAAUGGGCGAGAGCCUGAACCAGCCAAGUAGCGUGAAGGAUGACUGCCCUAUGGGUUGUAAACUUCUUUUAUAAAGGAAUAAAGUCGGGUAUGCAUACCCGUUUGCAUGUACUUUAUGAAUAAGGAUCGGCUAACUCCGUGCCAGCAGCCGCGGUAAUACGGAGGAUCCGAGCGUUAUCCGGAUUUAUUGGGUUUAAAGGGAGCGUAGAUGGAUGUUUAAGUCAGUUGUGAAAGUUUGCGGCUCAACCGUAAAAUUGCAGUUGAUACUGGAUAUCUUGAGUGCAGUUGAGGCAGGCGGAAUUCGUGGUGUAGCGGUGAAAUGCUUAGAUAUCACGAAGAACUCCGAUUGCGAAGGCAGCCUGCUAAGCUGCAACUGACAUUGAGGCUCGAAAGUGUGGGUAUCAAACAGGAUUAGAUACCCUGGUAGUCCACACGGUAAACGAUGAAUACUCGCUGUUUGCGAUAUACUGCAAGCGGCCAAGCGAAAGCGUUAAGUAUUCCACCUGGGGAGUACGCCGGCAACGGUGAAACUCAAAGGAAUUGACGGGGGCCCGCACAAGCGGAGGAACAUGUGGUUUAAUUCGAUGAUACGCGAGGAACCUUACCCGGGCUUAAAUUGCAGAUGAAUUACGGUGAAAGCCGUAAGCCGCAAGGCAUCUGUGAAGGUGCUGCAUGGUUGUCGUCAGCUCGUGCCGUGAGGUGUCGGCUUAAGUGCCAUAACGAGCGCAACCCUUGUUGUCAGUUACUAACAGGUUCCGCUGAGGACUCUGACAAGACUGCCAUCGUAAGAUGUGAGGAAGGUGGGGAUGACGUCAAAUCAGCACGGCCCUUACGUCCGGGGCUACACACGUGUUACAAUGGGGGGUACAGAGGGCCGCUACCACGCGAGUGGAUGCCAAUCCCAAAAACCUCUCUCAGUUCGGACUGGAGUCUGCAACCCGACUCCACGAAGCUGGAUUCGCUAGUAAUCGCGCAUCAGCCACGGCGCGGUGAAUACGUUCCCGGGCCUUGUACACACCGCCCGUCAAGCCAUGGGAGCCGGGGGUACCUGAAGUGCGUAACCGCGAGGAGCGCCCUAGGGUAAAACUGGUGACUGGGGC
Molecule: ribosomal RNA, 1434 nt
Filed under: uncultured organism
Description: 16S ribosomal RNA
Rfam family: Bacterial small subunit ribosomal RNA
Source: RNAcentral